This 729-nucleotide ribosomal RNA is filed under the name Morganella morganii. RNAcentral's name for it is "partial 23S ribosomal RNA". It matches the Rfam family "Bacterial large subunit ribosomal RNA", at positions 2202 to 2925 of the family's 2925-position model. Lineage: Bacteria; Pseudomonadati; Pseudomonadota; Gammaproteobacteria; Enterobacterales; Morganellaceae. The record is from RNAcentral.
ACCCUUUAACGUUUGAUGUUCUAACCCAGACCCGUAAUCCGGGUCGGGGACCGUGUCUGGUGGGUAGUUUGACUGGGGCGGUCUCCUCCCAAAGAGUAACGGAGGAGCACGAAGGUUGGCUAAGCAUGGUCGGACAUCAUGCGGUUAGUGCAAAGGCAUAAGCCAGCUUGACUGCGAGAGUGACGGCUCGAGCAGGUACGAAAGUAGGUCUUAGUGAUCCGGUGGUUCUGAAUGGAAGGGCCAUCGCUCAACGGAUAAAAGGUACUCCGGGGAUAACAGGCUGAUACCGCCCAAGAGUUCAUAUCGACGGCGGUGUUUGGCACCUCGAUGUCGGCUCAUCACAUCCUGGGGCUGAAGUAGGUCCCAAGGGUAUGGCUGUUCGCCAUUUAAAGUGGUACGCGAGCUGGGUUUAGAACGUCGUGAGACAGUUCGGUCCCUAUCUGCCGUGGGCGCUGGAAGAUUGAGAGGGGUUGCUCCUAGUACGAGAGGACCGGAGUGAACGCACCACUGGUGUACGGGUUGUGAUGCCAAUUGCAUUGCCCGGUAGCUAAGUGCGGAAGAGAUAACCGCUGAAAGCAUCUAAGCGGGAAACUUGCCUCGAGAUGAGUCUUCCCUGACCCUUUAAGGGUCCUGAAGGAACGUUUGAGACUAAGACGUUGAUAGGCUGGGUGUGUAAGUGCAGCGAUGUAUUGAGCUAACCAGUACUAAUGAACCGAGAGGCUUAACCUG